CACUGGAACUCCAUGUGUAGUGGGAAGAAUGGAAGGGCAGAACACAGAAUUUCUGCCCUCCAGACGUGCUGAAAGCCCCUUGGACUUGAAGAAUAUCCUGAAUUUCCACUAUCUUCAGCAAGAGAAGAAAAUAUUCAGAACCAGGCAUAGAAAAACUCAGCAGUCUGCUUAAACAUGAAGAUAUCGUGACACCUAGUGGUCAGUUAAACACCAAUAACUUCUGUUUCCCUCAGGAUUCGCCCGUGUUCUCCACAG
Sturnus vulgaris (Common starling) is the source of this 255-nucleotide non-coding RNA. NCBI's taxonomy places the organism in Eukaryota, Metazoa, Chordata, Aves, Passeriformes, Sturnidae. The record is from RefSeq and is a predicted model, not a curated record.